UACGAAGGGGGCUAGCGUUGUUCGGAAUUACUAGGCGUAAAGGGCGCGUAGGCGGUGUGUCAAGUCAGGCGUGAAAGCCCCGGGCUCAACCUGGGAACCGCGCUUGAGACUGGCACGCUCGAGUUCGGGAGAGGAUGGUGGAAUUCCCAGUGUAGAGGUGAAAUUCGUAGAUAUUGGGAAGAACACCGAUGGCGAAGGCAGCCAUCUGGACCGACACUGACGCUGAGGCGCGAAAGCGUGGGGAGCAAACAGG
This 253-nucleotide ribosomal RNA is filed under the name uncultured bacterium. RNAcentral's name for it is "partial 16S ribosomal RNA". It matches the Rfam family "Bacterial small subunit ribosomal RNA", at positions 524 to 776 of the family's 1533-position model. The record is from RNAcentral.